GCCAUCAUUAAGUUGGGCACUCUAAGGUGACUGCCGGUGACAAACCGGAGGAAGGUGGGGAUGACGUCAAAUCAUCAUGCCCCUUAUGACCUGGGCUACACACGUGCUACAAUGGACGGUACAAAGAGCUGCAAGACCGCGAGGUGGAGCUAAUCUCAUAAAACCGUUCUCAGUUCGGAUUGUAGGCUGCAACUCGCCUACAUGAAGCUGGAAUCGCUAGUAAUCGCGGAUCAGCAUGCCGCGGUGAAUACGUUCCCGGGCCUUGUACACACCGCCCGUCACACCACGAGAGUUUGUAACACCCGAAGUCGGUGGGGUACCUUUGCAGCCAG
Molecule: ribosomal RNA, 332 nt
Filed under: Bacillus sp. (in: firmicutes)
Lineage: Bacteria; Bacillati; Bacillota; Bacilli; Caryophanales; Bacillaceae
Description: bacterial SSU rRNA
Rfam family: Bacterial small subunit ribosomal RNA
Source: RNAcentral